Molecule: ribosomal RNA, 253 nt
Filed under: uncultured bacterium
Lineage: Bacteria
Description: partial 16S ribosomal RNA
Rfam family: Bacterial small subunit ribosomal RNA
Source: RNAcentral
UACGAAGGGGGCUAGCGUUAAUCGGAAUUACUGGGCGUAAAGCGUGCGUAGUCGGUUAUUUAAGUCGGGUGUGAAAGCCCCGGGCUCAACCUGGGAAUUGCAUUCGAUACUGGAUAGCUAGAGUUCGGCAGAGGGAAGCGGAAUUUCCGGUGUAGCGGUGAAAUGCGUAGAUAUCGGAAGGAACAUCAGUGGCGAAAGCGGCUUCCUGGACCAGAACUGACGAUCAGGCACGAAAGCGUGGGGAGCAAACAGG